ACUCUCUUUAAGGAACUCUGCAAAAUAGCACCGUAUCUUCGGUAUAAGGUGUGGUUAGCUUCGUACUAGGAUUUACUCCGAAAGCGAAGAAACUUACAACAAAGAGUCCCUCCCGACUGUUUACCAAAAACACAGCACUCUGCUAACUCGUAAGAGGAUGUAUAGGGUGUGACGCCUGCCCGGUGCUCGAAGGUUAAUUGAUGGGGUUAGCAUUAGCGAAGCUCUUGAUCGAAGCCCGAGUAAACGGCGGCCGUAACUAUAACGGUCCUAAGGUAGCGAAAUUCCUUGUCGGUUAAAUACCGACCUGCAUGAAUGGCGUAACGAGAUGGGAGCUGUCUCAAAGAGGGAUCCAGUGAAAUUGUAGUGGAGGUGAAAAUUCCUCCUACCCGCGGCAAGACGGAAAGACCCCGUGGACCUUUACUACAGCUUGACACUGCUACUUGGAUAAGAAUGUGCAGGAUAGGUGGGAGGCUUUGAGUAUAUGACGCCAGUUGUAUAUGAGCCAUUGUUGAGAUACCACUCUUUCUUAUUUGGGUAGCUAACCAGCUUGAGUUAUCCUCAAGUGGGACAAUGUCUGGUGGGUAGUUUGACUGGGGCGGUCGCCUCCCAAAUAAUAACGGAGGCUUACAAAGGUUGGCUCAGAACGGUUGGAAAUCGUUCGUAGAGUAUAAAGGUAUAAGCCAGCUUAACUGCAAGACAUACAAGUCAAGCAGAGACGAAAGUCGGUCUUAGUGAUCCGGUGGUUCUGUGUGGAAGGGCCAUCGCUCAAAGGAUAAAAGGUACCCCGGGGAUAACAGGCUGAUCUCCCCCAAGAGCUCACAUCGACGGGGAGGUUUGGCACCUCGAUGUCGGCUCAUCGCAUCCUGGGGCUGGAGCAGGUCCCAAGGGUAUGGCUGUUCGCCAUUUAAAGCGGUACGCGAGCUGGGUUCAGAACGUCGUGAGACAGUUCGGUCCCUAUCUGCCGUGGGCGUAAGAAGAUUGAAGAGAUUUGACCCUAGUACGAGAGGACCGGGUUGAACAAACCACUGGUGUAGCUGUUGUUCUGCCAAGAGCAUCGCAGCGUAGCUAAGUUUGGAAAGGAUAAACGCUGAAAGCAUCUAAGCGUGAAGCCAACUCUAAGAUGAAUCUUCUCUAAGCUCUCUAGAAGACUACUAGUUUGAUAGGCUGGGUGUGUAAUGGAUGAAAGUCCUUUAGCUGACCAGUACUAAUAGAGCGUUUGGCUUAUCUUUAAUAAAGCAU
RNAcentral lists this ribosomal RNA (1239 nucleotides) under Campylobacter jejuni. RNAcentral describes it as "partial 23S ribosomal RNA". It matches the Rfam family "Bacterial large subunit ribosomal RNA", at positions 1698 to 2925 of the family's 2925-position model. Lineage: Bacteria; Pseudomonadati; Campylobacterota; Epsilonproteobacteria; Campylobacterales; Campylobacteraceae. The record is from RNAcentral.